CGCUUUUUGAAGGUAGACAUGCGCGAGAUGGAGAGAUGGCGGAAGCAGUUAUUCUUCCUUCGGGAAGUGCACGGAUCCAUUCUGUGUUAGACAGAUGACAAUGAUGGGGGAGUGAACUACAGUUAUUUAAAAGGAAACUGCAGGUGUUGGUGCCUGUGGCUGCUGUGACUGUGGAAUGCAGGGUCCUGGUCCUUUGUUCCAUCCUGCACACCGCGUGAGAGACGAGACAUGCAGAGGCCCAUCCAAGCAGGAGCAGGCUGAGGCGGAGUGGGACUAUGUCCUCCUGGCCCAGCACUGCACUCUGCCUGGCCCCCCUGUCCAGGACCUCAUCAGCAUAGAGCCCUCCUGUCCCCGCUGUCCCGCCUGCUCAGCAGCUGUCAUCCCUGCCCUUCUGCAAACCCACUGGGCUGAC
RNAcentral lists this long non-coding RNA (412 nucleotides) under Salmo salar (Atlantic salmon). RNAcentral describes it as "lncRNA (ENSSSAG00000120115.1, ENSSSAG00020076657.1, ENSSSAG00075025503.1)". The record is from RNAcentral. Lineage: Eukaryota; Metazoa; Chordata; Actinopteri; Salmoniformes; Salmonidae.